Molecule: ribosomal RNA, 253 nt
Filed under: uncultured bacterium
Lineage: Bacteria
Description: partial 16S ribosomal RNA
Rfam family: Bacterial small subunit ribosomal RNA
Source: RNAcentral
UACGGGGGGGGCAAGCGUUGUUCGGAAUUACUGGGCGUAAAGGGCUUGUAGGUGGCCAACUAAGUCAGACGUGAAAUCCCUCGGCUUAACCGGGGAACUGCGUCUGAUACUGGAUGGCUUGAGUUCGGGAGAGGGAUGCGGAAUUCCAGGUGUAGCGGUGAAAUGCGCAGAUAUCAGGAGGAACACCAAUUGCGAAGGCAGCUCGCUGGGACGUUACUGACGCUGAGACGCGAAAGCGUGGGGAGCAAACAGG